This 312-nucleotide long non-coding RNA is filed under the name Numida meleagris (helmeted guineafowl). RNAcentral's name for it is "lncRNA (ENSNMEG00000018359.1)". Lineage: Eukaryota; Metazoa; Chordata; Aves; Galliformes; Numididae. The record is from RNAcentral.
GGAGCAUCCAUCCUCAACUGAGGCAGCUGAGCUUCAGCUAUAGAUUAAGUAAAAAGUUAUAAGUUGGCUUGCUACUCUGAAUUCAUUUUUAAGCAAAAUCAUCCUUGGAGAACAAUAGUUACAGAUAUAGGCCAGAAGAACCCUGAAAUUCAUCAAGGUGAAGUUUUGAGGUUUGCUGGAGUUAUUACAGCUGAUUUUGCCCCAGGCACAGUUCACUGGGGAGCUGGUACCUGGGGUUCCACUGAUAUCCCUGUCACUGGCAAGACUUCUAACAGGACACUUAGCAUCUUGUUAAUCCAAUGGCUUCAUUGA